Cornus florida is the source of this 1089-nucleotide long non-coding RNA. RefSeq lists it as uncharacterized. NCBI's taxonomy places the organism in Eukaryota, Viridiplantae, Streptophyta, Magnoliopsida, Cornales, Cornaceae. The record is from RefSeq and is a predicted model, not a curated record. The transcript has 2 exons.
UACCAAAAAGUCAUACUUUCAUGCACUUUACAAGAAAAGUAAACAUCCAAUAUGUUUUUCUACAAAAGUAAAAAUGUAAAUAUCAUAGAAAUGAAAUAUCAUGGAUGUAUACCAAGCCGGAAUCAAAUCCGAGUACAAAAAGUGAGGUUAAGUAAGGAAAAAUGAAAAAUGAAAAAUGACUAAAGGACGAAAAAGGGAAAAAACCAAAAAAUAAAUAGUGUCGAAACACAAAAAAUGUGGAAAUGACUCGAUUCUCAAACGAAGUUGUCAAUCCAAAGGAAAGAGUCUCAGAAACUAUUUUCGAGCACUCAAAACGACAUUAAAAGGCGAAAAAUCGAACCCGAAAAGAAAAAGAGAAUGAAAAAAAUUUAUUCUCAAAAUUUGAAGAAAAGGAAAGUAAUGAAAAUGACCGAACCAUUAUAACAUAAAUUCCAUUCUAAAAUCAAAUCUUCCGGAAUCCUAUCGUUCCAAACAAAGAGUUCUCUCUCUUCAAGGUUUGAAGCUCUCUCACUCUGACAGAUUUCUUUGCAAAGUCUCUCUUCAAGCUAUCUCUCUCUCAGUUUCUUACGCUUCUCUUAGGCAGAAAAGGUCGAACUGCGUUUCUCUUCCUACAAUCAUCUCUGUGUGCGGGAGCAUGGAGCAAAGCAGCAGACCUUCCCUAGAGGAUUACUUGAAAGGAAGGAGUAAUUCAUAAAGUUUACAUUAGCUUCUCUUGUAUUCUAUUUAAACACCUUUUAUUUGUUUACAAGUAAUUUCUGCUACAAGCCAAGGCUAACAGAGUGUGUAGUUCGUCCUUGCACAGUCAGGGAAAGGAAAAAAAAAAUUUGCACCCAAUGAUGAGGUAGUUUAUGUUUGUAGGCACUGAAUUCAUGUAGAGUUAUUAAUGGAAGAAGCCCAAGAUAGAAAGGGUUCAAAGUUUGCAACACAAAAUAUGUGUCCUGAUUGAAGCCUAUUUUUUUUUUUUUUUUUAUGUAAUGAAAUAGUCACAUAAGAUUUAAAUAUAUAAGCAUACAAACCAGUGCAGGAUUCAAUGGUAUGAAAUGUACUAAAGGCUCGUUUUCCCAUUUUAAAGCUUGUGCCUUGUUAUAA